This 430-nucleotide ribosomal RNA is filed under the name uncultured bacterium. RNAcentral describes it as "partial 16S ribosomal RNA". It matches the Rfam family "Bacterial small subunit ribosomal RNA", at positions 30 to 506 of the family's 1533-position model. The record is from RNAcentral.
AGCGAACGCUGGCGGCAGGCUUAACACAUGCAAGUCGAGCGCCCCGCAAGGGGAGCGGCAGACGGGUGAGUAACACGUGGGAACGUACCCUUUGGUUCGGAACAACCCAGGGAAACUUGGGCUAAUACCGGAUAAGUCCGCGAGGAGAAAGAUUUAUCGCCGAAGGAUCGGCCCGCGUCUGAUUAGCUAGUUGGUGUGGUAACGGCGCACCAAGGCGACGAUCAGUAGCUGGUCUGAGAGGAUGAUCAGCCACACUGGGACUGAGACACGGCCCAGACUCCUAGGGGAGGGAGAAGUGGGGAAAAUUGGACAAUGGGGGCAACCCUAACCCAGCCGGGGCGGGGGAGUGAUGAAGGCCCUAGGGUUGAAAAGCUCUUUGGGUGGGGAAGAUAAUGCGGGUACCCAAAGAAAAAGCCCCGGCAAACUUCGU